UUUUUUUUUUUUUUUUGAGAUGGAGCCUUGCUCUGUCACCCAGACUGGAGUGCAGUGGCGCGAUCUCAGCUAACUGCAACCUCCGUCCCUCCAGGUUUAAGCAAUUCUCUGCCUCAGCCUUCAAAGUAGCUGGGAUUACAGGCAUGUGCCACCAAACCUGGCUAAUUUUUUUAUAUUUUUAGUAGAGACGGGGUUUCACCAUCUUGGCCAGGCUGGUCUUGAACUCCUGACCUCGUGUUCUACCCGCCUCAGCCUCCCAAAGUGCUGGGAAUACAGGCAUGAGCCACCAUGCCCAGCCUUUUUUUGUUUUGUGUUUUUUGAGACAAGGCCUUGCUAUGUUGCCCAGGCUGGUCUGGAACUCCUGGACUCAAGCAAACCUUCUGCCUCAGCCUCUCAAGUAGCUGGGAUUACAGGGCCAAACCACUGUGUUGGGUGUGGCAUUUUCCAUUCUAAUGGAAACCAAGUAAAUGGUAGAGUCUACUGCUUCAUUCAACCUAAGCCACUUUGCUUUAGCCCCUAAAAAACCUGCUUUAAUUUACUCAAGGCCUUUAACAUAUGUGGUAUAAAAUUGGUAUAUUAUCAGCUUUGAGCAUUUAAGGAACAGUUUAGUAUCCAGAGCCCAAUUUUCUCAUUGAGGCUCCGGAGGCAGUAUGCAUAUGAUUUCUCGGUGACCAGAAGCACUUGCUGUAAUAAUAAAUGUCACAAGGAGUUUCAGAAACAAAUUGUUCCCUUUCUUGCAGUCUCACUUCUGUGUAAACACAAGAUAAGGUUAUUUCUGUCAGGGUUGGCUCUACCUGCCCCAAAAUACUCAUUCUUCUCUCUUUUUUUUGAAACCAGGUCUCACUCUGUCACCCAGGCUGGAGCACUGUGGCGUGAUCUCAGCGGUCUGCAACCUCCGCCUCCCAUGAUCAAGUGAUCCUCCCACCUCAGCUUUGUGAGUAGCUGAGACUAUAGGCGUGUGUCACCACACCCAGCUAAUUUCUGUAUUUUUUUUGUAGAGAUGGGGACUUGCCGUGUUGCCCAGGCUGGUCUCAAACUUCCG
This 1042-nucleotide long non-coding RNA is filed under the name Macaca fascicularis (crab-eating macaque). Its description in RNAcentral is "lncRNA (ENSMFAG00000062443.1)". Lineage: Eukaryota; Metazoa; Chordata; Mammalia; Primates; Cercopithecidae. The record is from RNAcentral.